RNAcentral lists this transfer RNA (58 nucleotides) under Diaphorina citri (Asian citrus psyllid). It matches the Rfam family "tRNA", at positions 8 to 63 of the family's 71-position model. Rfam says of the family: Transfer RNA (tRNA) molecules are approximately 80 nucleotides in length. Lineage: Eukaryota; Metazoa; Arthropoda; Insecta; Hemiptera; Psyllidae. The record is from Rfam by way of RNAcentral.
UAGCUUGGUUGGUAGAGCGUCUGCCUUGUAAGCGCUAGGCCGCGGGUUCAAUUCCUGC